This 300-nucleotide unclassified non-coding RNA is filed under the name Hevea brasiliensis (rubber tree). The record is from RNAcentral. Lineage: Eukaryota; Viridiplantae; Streptophyta; Magnoliopsida; Malpighiales; Euphorbiaceae.
GUACGUACAGUGACACAUACAGAAGAAAAUCACUUCCCAAAUCCAAAGUGUGGGAUUUCACAAAAUGUUAGCUCAAAUGUGGAAUAAAUUUCAUACAACCUAUUCUGCAUUCUCCAAACAAUUGAACAUCAAACUGAAAAUUUAAUGCCAAUCUGUAUGACAAAGGGGGGUGAGAGGAGAUGGCAUACUGGGAAUAUAGAUGCAUCAAUGAAUUUCAUGCUUAGGUAUUAUUAUGCAGGUAUUUGUGUGUGAUACAGUGAAAUGAUCUCAUAAAGCACUAGACAUAUCAUAAAUCGCUCA